AGAUUGAACGCUGGCGGCAUGCCUUACACAUGCAAGUCGAACGGCAGCACGGGAGCAAUCCUGGUGGCGAGUGGCGAACGGGUGAGUAAUAUAUCGGAACGUGCCCAGUCGUGGGGGAUAACGCAGCGAAAGCUGUGCUAAUACCGCAUACGAUCUAUGGAUGAAAGCGGGGGAUCGCAAGACCUCGCGCGAUUGGAGCGGCCGAUAUCAGAUUAGCUAGUUGUGGGGUAAAAGCCUACCAAGGCGACGAUCUGUAGCUGGUCCGAGAGGACGACCAGCCACACUGGAACUGAGACACGGUCCAGACUCCUACGGGAGGCAGCAGUGGGGAAUUUUGGACAAUGGGCGCAAGCCUGAUCCAGCAAUGCCGCGUGCAGGAUGAAGGCCUUCGGUUGUAAACUGUCUUUUGUACGGAACGAACGUUCUACUCUAAUACAGGGCUAAGUAGACGGUAACCGUAAGAAUAAGACGAACCGCUAACUACGUAGUCACG
Molecule: ribosomal RNA, 493 nt
Filed under: uncultured soil bacterium
Lineage: Bacteria
Description: bacterial SSU rRNA
Rfam family: Bacterial small subunit ribosomal RNA
Source: RNAcentral